UUGAACGCUGGCGGCAUGCCUUACACAUGCAAGUCGAACGGUAACAGGUCUUCGGAUGCUGACGAGUGGCGAACGGGUGAGUAAUACAUCGGAACGUGCCCGAUCGUGGGGGAUAACGAGGCGAAAGCUUUGCUAAUACCGCAUACGAUCUACGGAUGAAAGCGGGGGAUCUUCGGACCUCGCGCGGACGGUGCGGCCGAUGGCAGAUUAGGUAGUUGGUGGGAUAAAAGCUUACCAAGCCGACGAUCUGUAGCUGGUCUGAGAGGAUGAUCAGCCACACUGGGACUGAGACACGGCCCAGACUCCUACGGGAGGCAGCAGUGGGGAAUUUUGGACAAUGGGCGAAAGCCUGAUCCAGCCAUGCCGCGUGCAGGAUGAAGGCCUUUGGGUUGUAAACUGCUUUUGUACGGAACGAAAAGCCUCUUUCUAAUAAAGAGGGGUCAUGACGGUACCGUAAGAAUAAGCACCGGCUAACUACGUG
Molecule: ribosomal RNA, 481 nt
Filed under: uncultured bacterium
Lineage: Bacteria
Description: partial 16S ribosomal RNA
Rfam family: Bacterial small subunit ribosomal RNA
Source: RNAcentral